This 497-nucleotide ribosomal RNA is filed under the name uncultured bacterium. RNAcentral's name for it is "partial 16S ribosomal RNA". It matches the Rfam family "Bacterial small subunit ribosomal RNA", at positions 28 to 507 of the family's 1533-position model. The record is from RNAcentral.
GAUGAACGCUGGCGGCGUGCCUAAUACAUGCAAGUCGAGCGAACAGACGAGGAGCUUGCUCCUCUGACGUUAGCGGCGGACGGGUGAGUAACACGUGGAUAACCUACCUAUAAGACUGGGAUAACUUCGGGAAACCGGAGCUAAUACCGGAUAAUAUAUUGAACCGCAUGGUUCAAUAGUGAAAGACGGUUUUGCUGUCACUUAUAGCUGGAUCCGCGCCGCAUUAGCUAGUUGGUAAGGUAACGGCUUACCAAGGCGACGAUGCGUAGCCGACCUGAGAGGGUGGUCGGCCACACUGGAACUGAGACACGGUCCAGACUCCUACGGGAGGCAGCAGUAGGGAAUCUGCCGCAAUGGUCGAAAGCCUGACGGAGCAACGCCGCGUGAGUGAUGAAGGUCUUCGGAUCGUAAAACUCUGUUAUUAGGGAAGAACAAAUGUGUAAGUAACUAUGCACGUCUUGACGGUACCUAAUCAGAAAGCCACGGCUAACUACGUG